CCUACGGGAGGCAGCAGUGAGGAAUUUUGCGCAAUGGGGGCAACCCUGACGCAGCAACGCCGUGUGAGUGAAGAAGGCCUUCGGGUUGUAAAGCUCUGUCAAGUGGGAAAAAAUGCUUUUAGUGAAUAGCUAAGGGAGUUGAUGGUACCACUAGAGGAAGCACCGGCUAACUCCGUGCCAGCAGCCGCGGUAAU
RNAcentral lists this ribosomal RNA (194 nucleotides) under uncultured bacterium. RNAcentral's name for it is "partial 16S ribosomal RNA". It matches the Rfam family "Bacterial small subunit ribosomal RNA", at positions 338 to 524 of the family's 1533-position model. The record is from RNAcentral.